UCGACGCAGCAAAGAAGCAGCUAAAAAAUUUUCACACACGACAAUUGGACAGAGACGGCAAUAGCAAUUGGAAACAAUUUCAAUGCCUCAUAGAUUCAGGAAGUCCUAUUUCGUUUAUUAAAAAAUCGUGUGUCCCAGUUGGAAUAAAACUUAAAGCACACGCAGAAAAUUACUUUGGGCUAAAUGAAAGCCAGUUAAAUGUGAUUGGAAAAACAUUUGUUCAUAUUUUCAAGAAGUUUGAGAAAAUAAAUUUUUGGUUAAUA
Long non-coding RNA from Drosophila mojavensis, 263 nucleotides. RefSeq lists it as uncharacterized. The transcript is spliced from 2 exons. NCBI's taxonomy places the organism in Eukaryota, Metazoa, Arthropoda, Insecta, Diptera, Drosophilidae. The record is from RefSeq and is a predicted model, not a curated record.